Molecule: long non-coding RNA, 677 nt
Filed under: Gallus gallus (chicken)
Lineage: Eukaryota; Metazoa; Chordata; Aves; Galliformes; Phasianidae
Source: RNAcentral
GCGGCUGUCCUACAACUACAAUGUUCACUGUACUGUCAACUUCAUUUUUUAUACUGGAGGACAGGAAAUAGUCAGAAGUAACAUCAUUUAGCCCAUUAAUCCCAAAAGAUGAUUCAACUGGCUCUUGCUUAAUUUGUUUGAACUUGUCAUCCUUCUCAGACUUCGUUUUUUUUCCUUUUUUGGAUGGUCUUUCAGAUAAUGGCAGCAUCCGGUACACCCUGAAGGCAUUGUUUCCUUUCUUUAUACUUUUGUCCUUCACUUCUUCUAUAUCAGGCAGAGAGUUCAUAGCACACCGGAAGUUUGCCUUCCAUGUCUUUGGGUCGGGUUUAUCUACUCCUGACUGGUAUUUUCCUGUGUGAAUUGCCCAGUUUCUAAAUAAGGGAGCAUCUUUUUCAACAUCCCACCCAUGUCUUGCAGCAUGCAUCCAGGGAAUCUGAAAAAUCUUCUUCUCCUUAUUUAUCCAUUUCAGCCCUGGUAUUGUGUUAGAAUUUAUUUGUUCUUCCAGCCAUGGGCGCAUCCGCAUUCUUUCGACAGGCAUUGUUACCUGCGCUGGAAGGAGAUUUAGGCUUCUUCUUCUCUCCCCCACUACACCAGGCUCAGCUCCUUCCUCUCUCCUUUGUUCUUCACAUCUGCGUUCUCUGCAUCAUUCUUAACUUCUCUGCUCUGCUAUUCUUGUC